Molecule: unclassified non-coding RNA, 326 nt
Filed under: Hevea brasiliensis (rubber tree)
Lineage: Eukaryota; Viridiplantae; Streptophyta; Magnoliopsida; Malpighiales; Euphorbiaceae
Source: RNAcentral
AAAGCAGUAGAAUUAACAAUUGAUGUAUAAUUCUAAAGUCAAAUGAAAUUAUUGCAGAUCCAGAUCUACCUAUUUCAUCAUUUCUCAAACAACGGCUUCAAAGAAAUCAACAAGUUCAGAAUUCAUUUGACAGGGGCGAGUUGUAGGAAUAUUUUCUUCAUUAAAGGAAUCCUCAUAAGGCAGAGUUACAAUAUGCUUUUUCCUGUCCGAAAAAGCAUUUGGAUGAUCUGCACAGAUAUCAGCAGCCAUUUUUCCAGAAAUUAAUUUAAUUUUUUCCUGGACUUUAGGAGAUUGUAAAGAAUCAGAAAUAUUAAGACUGAAAAUUU